Molecule: long non-coding RNA, 958 nt
Organism: Canis lupus familiaris (dog)
Lineage: Eukaryota; Metazoa; Chordata; Mammalia; Carnivora; Canidae
Exons: 3
Source: RefSeq, a predicted model, not a curated record
CAGGCAAGCAGAGACAUACAGGCUCCCUGUAAGGAGCCUGAUGCGGGACUUGAUCCUGGACCCUGGGAUCAUGCCCUGAGCUAAAGGCAGACACUCAACCGCUGAGCCACCCAGGCGUCCCUAUUUCAUCUGAAUUCUGUAUUCAUGGACCCAGCAGUCAAAACAAAACACUGAAUUGAAUCCUGCUGGUUUCUGGAACUUAUCAGUAGUGGAAGCCAGCUGGUGGCAGCAGAAGAGACAAGAUAGAGGAUGUAAGAUGGCAGGAAAAGAUGUCUGAAUUCCAGAAGAUCAAGGAACCGACUAAAGUAAAGACUCCUCUCCAUUUUAAAUCCCUAGUCUUGGUAUGGUUGAAGAUGGCACAGUUUGGAUGAAGCAGUUCCACAAAUGGAAGUUUCUAGUUCCAGCUGAAGAAAAUAUUUUCUGAAUCUCGUCUGAAAGUGCUGUCUUCAGUUCUGUUUCAUAUAUAUAUGAAUUGCCUGCAACUGCUGCUUUACAGUCAUGUGAAUGUUUGUCCUUAUAAACCUUGGUUCUAAAAAUGUGCUAAUCGAGCAAUAUAAUUGGCUUUCAAGAAACCAAUCAUCUAGGUUUUUCCAUCUGCAUUUCAGUUUCAUUUUGUGUGCAUGAAUGUCUGCAUCUUUCUGGAGUGAGAAGAGAAUCUUUUUAGCAGCUAUAAUGUAAGAAAUAUUUGCACCCUGAAAGCAUCAGUUUGGCUACUUCUUCAUUCAGGUUCCAGCAAAGCAAAGUACUUUCUCUGCAAGCAGUUUUAAUAAAAUCUAUUUUUUUCAUCUAAAAAGCAUAUUAUUUUGCUUUCGUUCAGGAUGGCUUUUGGGGCACCUGGGUGGCUCACUGGCCGAGCAUCUGCCUUUGGCUUGGGUCAUGAUCCCGGGGUCCUGGGAUUGAGUCCCACACUGGGCUCCCCACAGGGAGCCUGCUUCUCCCUCUGCCUAUGUCUCUGCUU